Molecule: ribosomal RNA, 376 nt
Filed under: uncultured organism
Description: partial 16S ribosomal RNA
Rfam family: Bacterial small subunit ribosomal RNA
Source: RNAcentral
GUAGGUGGCAAGCGUUGUCCGGGAAUUAUUGGGGCGUAAAGCGCGCGCAGGCGGUUUUUUAAGUCUGAUGUGAAAGCCCACGGGCUCAACCGUGGAGGGUCAUUGGAAACUGGAGAACUUGAGUACAGAAGAGGAAAGCGGAAUUCCACGUGUAGCGGUGAAAUGCGUAGAGAUGUGGAGGAACACCAGUGGCGAAGGCGGCUUUCUGGUCUGUAACUGACGCUGAGGCGCGAAAGCGUGGGGAGCAAACAGGAUUAGAUACCCUGGUAGUCCACGCCGUAAACGAUGAGUGCUAAGUGUUAGGGGGUUUCCGCCCCUUAGUGCUGCAGCUAACGCAUUAAGCACUCCGCCUGGGGAGUACGGCCGCAAAGGCUGA